Molecule: unclassified non-coding RNA, 298 nt
Filed under: Hevea brasiliensis (rubber tree)
Lineage: Eukaryota; Viridiplantae; Streptophyta; Magnoliopsida; Malpighiales; Euphorbiaceae
Source: RNAcentral
UUGGUCUACACAACUCAGAAUGACUUGAAAUCAGUGGUAAAAAUUCAAUAAGAUAUAGACCUACAAAUUUGCUCUUUUGACCAGAACCUAAAAACUAAGGAAAACAAGACAAUUAGCUAGAUCAAUCUAGCAAAUAAAAUCUAGAAAUUUACCAUUACUAUACAAUAAAGCCUUAGAAAUAAAAUUGGCAAUAAAUGCCAACUUGUAAGAAUUAUAAAAUGUACUAUAUUGAUAACAUGUUGGAAUUAUUAUGAGAUGUGAUACUGAAAUAUUGUAAAUUGUGUGUUUCAGUUGAAAA